This 907-nucleotide ribosomal RNA is filed under the name uncultured bacterium. RNAcentral describes it as "bacterial SSU rRNA". It matches the Rfam family "Bacterial small subunit ribosomal RNA", at positions 491 to 1398 of the family's 1533-position model. The record is from RNAcentral.
UCAUAUGGAUUGUGUCAGCCGCCGCGCGGUAAUACGGGAGUGGCAAGCGUUAUCCGGAAUUAUUGGGCGUAAAGCGUCCGCAGGCGGCCCUUUCAAGUCUGCUGUUAAAACGUGGAGCUUAACUCCAUCAUGGCAGUGGAAACUGUUGGGCUUGAGUGUGGUAGGGGCAGAGGGAAUUCCCGGUGUAGCGGUGAAAUGCGUAGAUAUCGGGAAGAACACCAGUGGCGAAGGCGCUCUGCUGGGCCAUAACUGACGCUCAUGGACGAAAGCCAGGGGAGCGAAAGGGAUUAGAUACCCCUGUAGUCCUGGCCGUAAACGAUGAACACUAGGUGUCGGGGGAAUCGACCCCCUCGGUGUCGUAGCCAACGCGUUAAGUGUUCCGCCUGGGGAGUACGCACGCAAGUGUGAAACUCAAAGGAAUUGACGGGGGCCCGCACAAGCGGUGGAGUAUGUGGUUUAAUUCGAUGCAACGCGAAGAACCUUACCAGGGUUUGACAUCCUGCGAAUCUCUUGGAAACGAGAGAGUGCCUUCGGGAACGCAGUGACAGGUGGUGCAUGGCUGUCGUCAGCUCGUGUCGUGAGAUGUUGGGUUAAGUCCCGCAACGAGCGCAACCCACGUCUUUAGUUGCCAGCAUUUAGUUGGGCACUCUAGAGAGACCGCCGGUGAUAAACCGGAGGAAGGUGUGGAUGACGUCAAGUCAUCAUGCCCCUUACAUCCUGGGCUACACACGUACUACAAUGCUACGGACAAAGAGCAGCAAGUUCGCGAGGACAAGCAAAUCUCAUAAACCGUGGCUCAGUUCAGAUCGUAGGCUGCAACUCGCCUACGUGAAGGAGGAAUCGCUAGUAAUCGCAGGUCAGCAUACUGCGGUGAAUACGUUCCCGGGCCUUGCACACACCGCCCGUC